UACGUAGGGUGCAAGCGUUAAUCGGAAUUACUGGGCGUAAAGGGUGCGCAGGCGGUUUUUUAAGUCAGCUGUGAAAUACCUGGGCUCAACCUGGGGACUGCAGUUGAGACUGGAAGGCUAGAGUGUGUCAGAGGGGGGUAGAAUUCCACGUGUAGCAGUGAAAUGCGUAGAGAUGUGGAGGAAUACCGAUGGCGAAGGCAGCCCCCUGGGAUAACACUGACGCUCAAGCACGAAAGCGUGGGGAGCAAACAGG
RNAcentral lists this ribosomal RNA (253 nucleotides) under uncultured bacterium. RNAcentral describes it as "partial 16S ribosomal RNA". It matches the Rfam family "Bacterial small subunit ribosomal RNA", at positions 524 to 776 of the family's 1533-position model. The record is from RNAcentral.